CAGCAGCCACGGUAAUACAGAGGGUGCAAGCGUUAAUCGGAAUUACUGGGCGUAAAGCGCGCGUAGGUGGUUUGUUAAGUUGGAUGUGAAAGCCCCGGGCUCAACCUGGGAACUGCAUCCAAAACUGGCAAGCUAGAGUACGGUAGAGGGUGGUGGAAUUUCCUGUGUAGCGGUGAAAUGCGUAGAUAUAGGAAGGAACACCAGUGGCGAAGGCGACCACCUGGACUGAUACUGACACUGAGGUGCGAAAGCGUGGGGAUCAAACAGGAUUAGAUACCCCAGUAGUCCCUGUAUCUUAUAC
Molecule: ribosomal RNA, 301 nt
Filed under: uncultured bacterium
Lineage: Bacteria
Description: partial 16S ribosomal RNA
Rfam family: Bacterial small subunit ribosomal RNA
Source: RNAcentral